Gallus gallus (chicken) is the source of this 1508-nucleotide long non-coding RNA. RefSeq lists it as uncharacterized. The record is from RefSeq and is a predicted model, not a curated record. NCBI's taxonomy places the organism in Eukaryota, Metazoa, Chordata, Aves, Galliformes, Phasianidae. The transcript has 5 exons.
GCCGGCCGCGAGAGCCAUGUUGGAGCCGGCGUUCAGGGGCGGCUCAGAGCCCGGGCCGAGGGGUAUCCCCGCUCCACGCGCUGCCCCCCGCCACUCCCUCAGCGCCCUCUUUGCCGCCGUCCCCUCACACCAGGACAGAGCCCCCCGACCCACAACCACCUGUCACGCGGCGCUGUCCCCGCACGCUGCCCACCACGAAGUUGCCCUCAGCCCCAGUGCCGGGCGCUCCCGGGGCUCUCCGCCUCUCCCUGACCCCUAGCUGAAGUUGCCCUGAGGCUGCUGCCCCCCAGGAGGCGGCUGCGAGCCCACCUCAGACUCACCGUCUCCCUGCGCCUGGAUAAAGACGCCCGUUACCGGUCCUUGAUACCAGAGCUCGCCUCGCGCCCUCAGGGGAGUCCCCUCGCUCCACGUCCCACAGCUUCAGCCCGGCUGGGCGUCCCGCCCGGGAAAGCUGCGAGCGCAGGAAGGCAGCUGACACCAAACUGACAACUGAGCAGAACUGCUGUCAUCCUGAACGUGAUGCGGAAAAGUGACAACCCCUGCUGCUCCGGGCUGACCUCCCCCUCCAAUGCACGACAGCAGGAACCUGUUUAUUGAGGGAGUGCACAACUGAGAAACUGUGCAAGUGAAAAUGGCAGCACCAUGAAUCAGAGAGCAGACUGCACUGCUUUAUGUUGAUAGGGCUGAACCUUUCAGCAAGCUUCAGUCUGCCAUUCACACCCUCUUCUAAGGCACUGAUGCACACGGAAAUAACACUAUGGAGCCUUUAGGACCCUCGCUCUUCAUUUGGAGUGGAGAUUCAGAUACCAAGGCAGGAUUUUUCCUUUCUAGCAGUAUGCACACCCUGGUUUUAAAACACUGCACAAGCGCUUUGAACACUGCAGAGUUAAAACAAAUGGAUUAUAUUUUAUCCUUAACCAGAAACUCAGUCUAAAUCAAGGCAGCUGUUUCUGAAGUGUCCUUUCACCUGGAAUUUCCUCACCAUCUCCUCCUCAUCUUCCAAAGGCUGUUGAAAACUCACAGUAUAUUAUUGAGGUCAAUACAUUUAGAACAAUUUUUCUCAUGAUUUACGUGCUAUAUUUUGCCUCAGUUCUGCUAGAGAGAAUAGCUGCUUUUUUUUUCUGGGCACCAGGCCCAGUUUAUUCUUAAUUUUGUCUACAGAUUGUACAGUUUCCCAGAUACCAUACCAGAGAUGAGCAUUUUAUAAGUUAAUAAAACAAUAAAUAAAACAAAGUAUGUUCUCAUAUCCCCAAGUAAUAACUGGAACUUUAAAAGCCUUGCCUUGUUUUAUAGAAGCUUUUCUAUGUUAUUGUUACUGCAUAAAAAUAUACCAAAUUAUUUCAAAUGCUAAAAAAUAAGGUCAAUAAUUUGUAGGGAAUAGUUCAAAUGUGAUGUUUCAUUUCUUAAACAAACAGUUCCACUGUUGAAGGUGUUACAUAUUAGUUGUAUUACAGUUCACAUAAUUAUACUGUAUUUUUAGAAUAAAAAGAAGAAAAACUUACCGUGUA